This 509-nucleotide ribosomal RNA is filed under the name Naganishia albida. RNAcentral's name for it is "eukaryotic LSU rRNA". It matches the Rfam family "Eukaryotic large subunit ribosomal RNA", at positions 143 to 659 of the family's 3401-position model. The record is from RNAcentral. Lineage: Eukaryota; Fungi; Basidiomycota; Tremellomycetes; Filobasidiales; Filobasidiaceae.
UUGUAAUCUAGAGAAGUGUUUUCCGUGCCGGCCCAUGUACAAGUCCCUUGGAACAGGGCGUCAUAGAGGGUGAGAAUCCCGUCCUUGACAUGGACCCCCGGUGCUUUGUGAUACACUUUCAACGAGUCGAGUUGUUUGGGAAUGCAGCUCAAAAUGGGUGGUGAAUUCCAUCUAAAGCUAAAUAUUGGCGAGAGACCGAUAGCGAACAAGUACCGUGAGGGAAAGAUGAAAAGCACUUUGGAAAGAGAGUUAAACAGUACGUGAAAUUGUUGAAAGGGAAACGAUUGAAGUCAGUCAUGCUCUUGGGACUUACCUCCCUUGAGUGGGGUCAACAUCAGUUUUGAUCGAUGGAUAAAGGCACUAGGAAGGUAGCACUCUCGGGUGAACUUAUAGCCUAGCGUCAUAUACAUUGAUUGGGACUGAGGAACGCAGCAUGCCUUUUGGCCGGGAUUCGUCCACGUACAUGCUUAGGAUGUUGACAUAAUGGCUUUAAACGACCCGUCUUGAAA